Long non-coding RNA from Daphnia magna, 283 nucleotides. RefSeq lists it as uncharacterized. The record is from RefSeq and is a predicted model, not a curated record. The transcript has 3 exons. Lineage: Eukaryota; Metazoa; Arthropoda; Branchiopoda; Diplostraca; Daphniidae.
CCAGUCGCCAUCUCGGCUCCGGAAUUUAUCUGCCUUUCUCGGCCCCCAUUUGAUAUUUGUCUAUCAUUACUGAUUCGGGUCUGAUUGUCCUCUAGUGUUGUCCAGUUACUGUACGAGUCACACUCUCUUCACAUUUUGUGUGUGUGUCUGCAACCCCAGAAACCGCACAUUUAUCUCCCACACCUGGUUUCUCAUCGUCUCAUAUUGAAUACAACAUUCAUUCAUGCAAAACCUACAGCCAGGUUACGAGGAAUUUCAUGCAAGGUUCCAUCAGUAGGAACAU